This 453-nucleotide ribosomal RNA is filed under the name uncultured bacterium. Its description in RNAcentral is "bacterial SSU rRNA". It matches the Rfam family "Bacterial small subunit ribosomal RNA", at positions 958 to 1398 of the family's 1533-position model. The record is from RNAcentral.
AACGCGAAGAACCUUACCUGGGCUUGACAUGCAUCGUGUCGCCGGUGAAAGCCGGCUAGUGUAGCAAUACACGCUUUGCACAGGUGCUGCAUGGCUGUCGUCAGCUCGUGUCGUGAGAUGUUGGGUUAAGUCCCGCAACGAGCGCAACCCUUGUGAACUGUUGCUACCCAGCACUUCGGUGUUGGGGCACUCUGUUCAGACUGCCCUGUGAAACGGGGAGGAAGGUGGGGACGACGUCAAGUCAGUAUGGCCCUUACGGCCAGGGCUGCACACGUACUACAAUGCCCAGUACAGAACGAUCCGAGACCGCAAGGUGGAGGAAAUCUAUCGAAAACUGGGCCCAGUUCGGAUUGGAGUCUGCAACUCGACUCCAUGAAGCCGGAAUCGCUAGUAAUGGCGCAUCAGCUACGGCGCCGUGAAUACGUUCCCGGGCCUUGUACACACCGAGACGAC